UUACCAAAAACAUAGCUCUUUAAAAUAUUAAAAGUGAAACCUGCCCAAUGAUAUAAAAAUAAUUAUAAUCUAAUUUAAAUAAUAUUAAAUGGAUGCAGUAACUCUGACUGUAAUAAAGUAGCAUAAUUAGUUGUCAUUUAAUUGAUGGAGAGAAUGAAUGGUUACACGAAUUUUUCACUGUCUUAAAAAAAAUUUUUUAAAAUUGAAAUAAUAGUUAAGAUGCUAUUUAAAAUUGUAAGACGAAGAGACCCUAUAGAGCUUUACUAUAAAUUUUUUUUUCAAAGAAUAAUAAAAAAUUAUUAAAAUUAGAAAAUUUGGUAGUUUAGUUGGGGCGACUGUUUUUUAAAAAUAACAAAAAUAAGCAAUAUAAUAAAUUUAUUUAUUGUAUAAUUAAACAAUUUAACAAUUACUAUAGUAGGCUAUAAUGACCCGUUAUUAUAAUAAACAAUAAAUAACGAUUAAUUAAUAAAAGCUACCUUAGGGAUAACAGGAUAAUUUUGUUUUAGAGUCCUUAUCAAAAACAAAGUUUGUCACCUCUAUGUUGAAUUAAGAUAUCCUAAUAAUGCAGUAGUUAUUAAGGGUAGGUCUGUUCGACCUUUAAAAUCUUACAUGAUUUGAGUUC
RNAcentral lists this ribosomal RNA (622 nucleotides) under Hydra vulgaris (swiftwater hydra). RNAcentral describes it as "partial 16S ribosomal RNA". It matches the Rfam family "Bacterial large subunit ribosomal RNA", at positions 1804 to 2612 of the family's 2925-position model. The record is from RNAcentral. Lineage: Eukaryota; Metazoa; Cnidaria; Hydrozoa; Anthoathecata; Hydridae.